Molecule: ribosomal RNA, 370 nt
Filed under: uncultured organism
Description: bacterial SSU rRNA
Rfam family: Bacterial small subunit ribosomal RNA
Source: RNAcentral
CGUAGGUGGCGAGCGUUGUCCGGAUUUACUGGGCGUAAAGGGAGCGUAGGUCGGUUUUUUAAGUGGGGUGUGAAAUCCCUGGGCUUAACCCAGGAAUUGCAUUCCAUACUGAAAGACUAGAGUGCAGGAGAGGAAAGUGGAAUUCCAAGUGUAGCGGUGAAAUGCGUAGAGAUUUGGAGGAACACCAGUGGCGAAGGCGACUUUCUGGACUGUAACUGACGCUGAGGCUCGAGAGCGUGGGGAGCAAACAGGAUUAGAUACCCUGGUAGUCCACGCUGUAAACGAUGAAUACUAGGUGUAGGGGGCGAAGCCCUCUGUGCCGCAGUUAACACAUUAAGUAUUCCGCCUGGGGAGUACGAUCGCAAGAUUA